This 319-nucleotide ribosomal RNA is filed under the name uncultured eukaryote. RNAcentral's name for it is "partial 18S ribosomal RNA". It matches the Rfam family "Eukaryotic small subunit ribosomal RNA", at positions 1470 to 1796 of the family's 1831-position model. The record is from RNAcentral.
CCCUUAGAUGUUCUGGGCUGCACGCGCGCUACACUGAUGCAUCCAACAAGUUUUUUCCUUGUUCGAGAGGACUAGGUAAUCUUAUGAGAAUGCAUCGUGAUGGGGAUAGAUUAUUGCAAUUAUUAAUCUUCAAUGAGGAAUUCCUAGUAAGCGCGAGUCAUCAGCUCGUGCUGAUUACGUCCCUGCCCUUUGUACACACCGCCCGUCGCUGCAACUGAUUGGGUGACCUGGUGAACAUCUUGGACCGGCCCACUCAAUUUCGAGAGGACUGGAAAAGGCCGUAAAUCAGGUACAUCUAGAAAUUGCAAAAGUCGUAACA